Molecule: non-coding RNA, 45 nt
Organism: Schistosoma curassoni
Lineage: Eukaryota; Metazoa; Platyhelminthes; Trematoda; Strigeidida; Schistosomatidae
Source: Rfam
AUUCGGCUGAUGAGUCCCAAAUAGGACGAAACACGUGUCCUGGAU